UUCGCAAUGCCCGAAAGGGUGACGAAGCGACGCCGCGUGGGUGAGGAAGGCCUUCGGGUUGUAAAGCCCUGUCAGGAGUUAAGAAAUAUAAGUGCGCUAAUAUCGCAUUUAUUUGACGAAGGCUCCAAAGGAAGCCACGGCUAACUCUGUGCCAGCAGCCGCGGUAAUACAGAGGUGGCAAGCGUUGUUCGGAAUUAUUGGGCGUAAAGAGCACGUAGGUGGGUUUGUAAGUCAGAUGUGAAAGCCUUCUGUUCAACGGAAGAAUUGCAUCUGAAACUGCAAGUCUUGAGUGUAGGAGGGGAGAAUGGAACUUCUGGUGGAGCGGUGAAAUGCGUAGAUAUCAGAAGGAACGCCGGCGGCGAAAGCGAUUCUCUGGCCUAUUACUGACACUCAGUGUGCGAAAGCUAGGGGAGCAAACGGGAUUAGAUACCCCGGUAGUCCUAGCCGUAAACGAUGGGCACUAAGUAGAGGGGUUUU
Molecule: ribosomal RNA, 477 nt
Filed under: Candidatus Scalindua brodae
Lineage: Bacteria; Pseudomonadati; Planctomycetota; Candidatus Brocadiia; Candidatus Brocadiales; Candidatus Scalinduaceae
Also listed under: 1 other name
Description: bacterial SSU rRNA
Rfam family: Bacterial small subunit ribosomal RNA
Source: RNAcentral